UACGUAGGUGGCAAGCGUUAUCCGGAAUUAUUGGGCGUAAAGAGCGCGCAGGUAGUUAAUCAAGUCUGAUGUGAAAGCCCACGGCUUAACCGUGGAGGGUCAUUGGAAACUGGUUGACUUGAGUGCAGAAGAGGGAAGUGGAAUUCCAUGUGUAGCGGUGAAAUGCGUAGAGAUAUGGAGGAACACCAGUGGCGAAGGCGGCUUCCUGGUCUGCAACUGACACUGAGGCGCGAAAGCGUGGGGAGCAAACAGG
This 253-nucleotide ribosomal RNA is filed under the name uncultured bacterium. RNAcentral's name for it is "partial 16S ribosomal RNA". It matches the Rfam family "Bacterial small subunit ribosomal RNA", at positions 524 to 776 of the family's 1533-position model. The record is from RNAcentral.